ACCGCUAUCUUGAGCCUAGCUGCCUAUGUCACUACCAAUGCGACUACCAACGUUGUUGUUGAUGUCUUGCUUGCCUUGUCUGUGUCUGCCUUAGUCAUGCUAGCUUCAUUUUGCCUCGUCUUAUUCCUCAGUUUUUUACUUGUUUAAAUGUGUUUCUGCCUAUCCUUUCCUUUAGCUCCACUUGAUUUUCCUGCACUUGAUCUUAUCCUUGACAAAUGCCAUAUACCGACUUACCCAC
This 238-nucleotide long non-coding RNA is filed under the name Capsicum annuum. RNAcentral's name for it is "long non-coding RNA (CANN_LNC015413)". Lineage: Eukaryota; Viridiplantae; Streptophyta; Magnoliopsida; Solanales; Solanaceae. The record is from RNAcentral.